ACUCAGGGAAGCUGAAGGGGGAUGGGAAGAGGAGGGGGCCGAAUGCAGAGGAGCUUAGUCAGAAACCGCAGUGGCUCUCAGAGCCGGAGCCGAGGCACAAGGGAGUUUGCCAGAUUGCCAGUGUUGGGGACGCUGGCAGAGAAAGAAAGCCCAAUUAGGCACACAGUUGUGAGAGGCUCUGGAGAAAGCGGUGGUGGACCAGAAGGAGGGUGUGGAAAAGAAAAUCCCACUGAAGGAGGCCAGAAGAUGGACUUGGCAGCACGCUACAUAACAGCUUGUUUAUAUGUGGGAAUUUAAUAAGCCUACAGGCAUCUGGUCUCCAGUCUGGUGAUGACUUCAUCCCUUGAACUUUCUUCUCCACUUCUGCUGAGAUCAAGCAAUUUUUACAACGCAAUACUAGAGCGCGCUGGGUCGUUCACUGGAUGAAAGGCUGGUGAAAACGUGUACAGACAUUCCUGGCUUUGCCCCAAGUGCUUCUGUGAAGAACAAUCUGCCAGACUGGUGAUUACAACUUGCUUUUUUUUCUUCACUGUCUUUUUUUUUUUAAUGGAUUCACAUUCAAAUGGAUUAUUGAAAAGUCUUACCAAUGUUUAUGAUUAAUGACAUUCUGAUUUGGUGCAAUAAACACUUGUC
This is a non-coding RNA of Phascolarctos cinereus (koala), 633 nucleotides long. NCBI's taxonomy places the organism in Eukaryota, Metazoa, Chordata, Mammalia, Diprotodontia, Phascolarctidae. The record is from RefSeq and is a predicted model, not a curated record.